UUAGGGUCUGGCGGCCGGAAGAUGUCGCGCUGUACGGAAAGGUAGGGCCCCUCUCCAGGUAGCCAAUAACACUUAGUUUAUGAGGUAAGCGGACGGAAGUGACGUCAUAAACCCAAGCUAUAUAAUGCCGUGUCACUCACAAAUAAACGCCAUUUGCCGUCCACCACAUUGGUGUACGUGAGCUGAUGGCCCGAGCGGCCUGGGGUUGGUCGCCGUGCCGUUCCUGAACCAGGUCGCCACGCCAACGAAAGGCAACAAGUGGUGCCGAAACCCGGGAUUCGUCGCCUGGACAGGUGAACGGCGGCCGGAGCGGCAGGACCAGCCCGGCGGGGAGGACGCUCCCGGACCAACAAGGAUGAUGGAAGCCCUUGUGAAGGACCACAUCAUCGGACGUCCUCGUAACCCGUACACCCCAGUGGCAAGAGAGGACGACAAAUCGACAAGCAUCUUGUCCGCACCUGGAAGCUCCACACUGGCAGAAUCCAAACGAUGGCAACAUAGCUCCCAAAAGGGGGGGCUACGUUGCCUCUGCGUGAUCUUGAUUUUAGAGCUUGUCACUGUAAGACAGGUAGGAUCAGAGCACCAUCCCCACCAGCCAUUCAAAUGGUCCCUCCUUCGAUUUGAGGAUCAGCAAAUUAUCGCAACUCAAAUAACACCAGGUGCGCCGA
Long non-coding RNA from Aquila chrysaetos chrysaetos, 668 nucleotides. RefSeq lists it as uncharacterized. NCBI's taxonomy places the organism in Eukaryota, Metazoa, Chordata, Aves, Accipitriformes, Accipitridae. The transcript has 2 exons. The record is from RefSeq and is a predicted model, not a curated record.